RNAcentral lists this ribosomal RNA (581 nucleotides) under uncultured bacterium. RNAcentral's name for it is "partial 16S ribosomal RNA". It matches the Rfam family "Bacterial small subunit ribosomal RNA", at positions 355 to 935 of the family's 1533-position model. The record is from RNAcentral.
UGGGGAAUUUUGGACAAUGGGCGAAAGCCUGAUCCAGCAAUGCCGCGUGUGUGAAGAAGGCCUUCGGGUUGUAAAGCACUUUUGUCCGGAAAGAAAUCCUUGGCUCUAAUACAGUCGGGGGAUGACGGUACCGGAAGAAUAAGCACCGGCUAACUACGUGCCAGCAGCCGCGGUAAUACGUAGGGUGCAAGCGUUAAUCGGAAUUACUGGGCGUAAAGCGUGCGCAGGCGGUUUGCUAAGACCGAUGUGAAAUCCCCGGGCUCAACCUGGGAACUGCAUUGGUGACUGGCAGGCUAGAGUAUGGCAGAGGGGGGUAGAAUUCCACGUGUAGCAGUGAAAUGCGUAGAGAUGUGGAGGAAUACCGAUGGCGAAGGCAGCCCCCUGGGCCAAUACUGACGCUCAUGCACGAAAGCGUGGGGAGCAAACAGGAUUAGAUACCCUGGUAGUCCACGCCCUAAACGAUGUCAACUAGUUGUUGGGGAUUCAUUCCUUAGUAACGUAGCUAACGCGUGAAGUUGACCGCCUGGGGAGUACGGUCGCAAGAUUAAAACUUAAAUGAAUUGACGGGGUCAUAGCUGUUU